This 2090-nucleotide long non-coding RNA is filed under the name Panax ginseng (ginseng). RNAcentral describes it as "long non-coding RNA (PGIN_LNC003524)". The record is from RNAcentral. Lineage: Eukaryota; Viridiplantae; Streptophyta; Magnoliopsida; Apiales; Araliaceae.
UACUCUCAAUAAUUCCAAAUUACAUUACCCAACAUUCCAAAUAAUACAAACAAUAUAUGCAUUUUCAACAAAACCCAAUUCGUUCCUACACUCAAUUUCUCCAAAUUUACGAUUAUCAGACAAAUUUCUCCAAUUCGUUCCUACUCUCAAAGCAGAUCUGAAGAUGAAGCUUUUACCAACUGGCCUCAAGUCUCACUCUCUCACUCUCUCACCUAAAUGGUGAGUUUGAAGAAAGUAGAGAGAGAAAGAUUCUAGUGAGAGAGUAUACAUAGACAGAGAGACAGUAGCUUAACAGGGGUGUCAAAGCAAAAGCUGUAAAGUCAACAGGGUCUCCAAAUUCGAUUUCGACAUGCCAAAUUGNNNNNNNNNNNNNNNNNNNNNNNNNNNNNNNNNNNNNNNNNNNNNNNNNNNNNNNNNNNNNNNNNNNNNNNNNNNNNNNNNNNNNNNNNNNNNNNNNNNNGUUCAAUCAACCCAUUUCGUCCAAUUUCUUGGACGGACGUCAGAUAAUUACACACGUGGCAUUGAAAAAAAAAUCAAAAAAUCAUUAUUUCCUACUUGGCAAGCCAGUCAGCCAAAUUCUUAAUACUAUUGAGCCACUGCACUUUAAAAAAAUACAAUUGGCCCACUGUGGUUUUAAAAAUAUUUUUAUGUUUUCAAAUACUUAUAAAAUUUUUAAAAUUAAAAAAAAAUUUAUGUUUUAUUUUCUUUCUUUUUCUGUACUUAAAUAUUUAUAAUAUUUAUAAUAUGUAUGUUUUAUUUUAAAAAUAAAAAUAAAAAACUUUUAUGUUUUCAAAUACUUAUAAAAUUUUUAAAAAUAAAAAUAUUUUUAUGUUUUAUUUUCUUUCUUUUUCUUUACCUAUAUAUUUAUAAUAUGUAUAAUAUUAAUAAAAAUUAAUAUUAUAAUAUUUAUAAUAUGUAUAUUUUAUACAAUCAAUACCUCAUUAAUUUUUUUUUUUCCUUUAUCUCUUUUCCUUUCUUUUAAUUAUUUUAAUUUUAAAUAAUACAAAUAAUCAAAAUAUUCAAAAUUUUUAAUGAAUUUUCUUUAUAAUUUUUUCUUCUCAAACAAAAAAAAUAAAAAAAUAAAUUAUUAUGUGGUAAAAUAAAUAAUUAAAAUAAUAAUAAAAUUAAAAUAAAUAUUUUAAUUUAUUUUUUAAUAAUUUUUUCUUUUCCUUUCUUUUAAUAAUUAUUUUUAUUUUAAAAAUUAUUUCCAAAUAAUACAAACAAUAUAUCAAAUUUUUUGUAUCAAUAAAAUCUAUUACAAUAUUACUCAAUUCGUUCCUACUCUCAAUAAUUCCAAAUUACAUUACCCAACAUUCCAAAUAAUACAAACAAUAUAUGCAUUUUCAACAAAACCCAAUUCGUUCCUACACUCAAUUUCUCCAAAUUUACGAUUAUCAGACAAAUUUCUCCAAUUCGUUCCUACUCUCAAAGCAGAUCUGAAGAUGAAGCUUUUACCAACUGGCCUCAAGUCUCACUCUCUCACUCUCUCACCUAAAUGGUGAGUUUGAAGAAAGUAGAGAGAGAAAGAUUCUAGUGAGAGAGUAUACAUAGACAGAGAGACAGUAGCUUAACAGGGGUGUCAAAGCAAAAGCUGUAAAGUCAACAGGGUCUCCAAAUUCGAUUUCGACAUGCCAAAUUGAAAUCGCCUAUCCAUCAAUGCCAGAGAUCAUAAUUUUCAAAGACCUGAACCUAAAAAUUCUAGCGGUCAAGGCGAUGUCGAUGGCGUUGGAGGAGGCUGACAUGAUGAAUGGAUCUGGUGAGUUAAGAGCUUGCAUGAACGAGGAGGCUGACAUACUUUUCGGCAAGGAGGAGUUGAGAAAUUGUUGUAAUACUGAUUCUUCUUCAUCUCCACAACACUCUGAUUUGGUUUCUCAUUUUUUUUUAUUUUGAGUCUGAUUAGCCAAAUAAGCAACCAGAUCUGCUUGAUUUUGCUUGAUUUUUGACUUUCUUUUCUGAAAUUAAUAAGAUGUUGUAAAUAUAAAAUUUUUGAUAUAUUAUUUAUAUUAUUUAGAAUUAAAAUAAGAGAGUUAUGACAUUUGACCUUUUUAAAAGGUGCACGGGUCGGGUUGACCCGAUUGAGAAAGAAGAUG